ACUCCUACGGGAGGCAGCAGUGAGGAAUUUUGCGCAAUGGGGGAAACCCUGACGCAGCAACGCCGCGUGAGUGAUGAAGGCCUUCGGGUCGUAAAGCUCUGUCAAGUGGGAAGAACCCUUCCGGGUAUAAUACACCUGGGAACUGACGGUACCACUGAAGGAAGCACCGGCUAACUCCGUGCCAGCAGCCGCGGUAAUACGGAGGGUGCAAGCGUUAUUCGGAAUUACUGGGCGUAAAGGGCGCGUAGGCGGCCUUGUAAGUCAGUUGUGAAAGCCCGGGGCUCAACCCCGGAAGUGCGACUGAAACUGCAGGGCUUGAGUAUGGUAGAGGGAAGUGGAAUUCCAGGUGUAGCGGUGAAAUGCGUAGAUAUCUGGAGGAACACCGGUGGCGAAGGCGACUUCCUGGACCAAUACUGACGCUGAGGCGCGAAGGCGUGGGUAGCAAACAGGAUUAGAAACCCCAGUAGUCC
RNAcentral lists this ribosomal RNA (470 nucleotides) under uncultured bacterium. RNAcentral describes it as "bacterial SSU rRNA". It matches the Rfam family "Bacterial small subunit ribosomal RNA", at positions 335 to 796 of the family's 1533-position model. The record is from RNAcentral.